RNAcentral lists this ribosomal RNA (198 nucleotides) under uncultured bacterium. RNAcentral's name for it is "partial 16S ribosomal RNA". It matches the Rfam family "Bacterial small subunit ribosomal RNA", at positions 328 to 539 of the family's 1533-position model. The record is from RNAcentral.
ACGCUCGACACCUACGGGAGGCAGCAGUGGGGAAUAUUGCACAAUGGGGGAAACCCUGAUGCAGCGACGCCGCGUGGAGGAAGAAGGUCUUCGGAUUGUAAACUCCUGUUGUUGGGGAAAAAGAGGAUGGUACCCAACAAGGAAGUGACGGCUAACUACGUGCCAGCAGCUGCGGUAAUCUGAGCGGGCUGGCAAGGC